This 403-nucleotide ribosomal RNA is filed under the name Chelonoidis niger. RNAcentral's name for it is "partial 16S ribosomal RNA". It matches the Rfam family "Bacterial large subunit ribosomal RNA", at positions 1823 to 2432 of the family's 2925-position model. Lineage: Eukaryota; Metazoa; Chordata; Testudines; Testudinidae. The record is from RNAcentral.
CAGCGAGNACAUAAGUAUUGGGGGUAAUGCCUGCCCAGUGACACUGUUAAACGGCCGCGGUAUCCUAACCGUGCAAAGGUAGCGUAAUCACUUGUCUUUUAAAUAAAGACUAGAAUGAAUGGCCAAACGAGGCUCUACCUGUCUCUUACAAAUAAUCAGUGAAAUUGAUCUCCCCGUGCAAAAGCGAGGAUAACACUAUAAGACGAGAAGACCCUGUGGAACUUCAAAUAUAAAAUCAACUAUCACCAACACCCACCCACGGGCCUUAUACCAAAUAGCACCUGAUUUUUAUUUUCGGUUGGGGCGACCUCGGAACAAAACAAAACCUCCGAAAAAUAAAAAACCCUUUAAACCUAGAACAACAGUUCAAAGUGCUUCCNGCAAAACGAUCCAAUACACUUGA